This 253-nucleotide ribosomal RNA is filed under the name uncultured bacterium. Its description in RNAcentral is "partial 16S ribosomal RNA". It matches the Rfam family "Bacterial small subunit ribosomal RNA", at positions 524 to 776 of the family's 1533-position model. The record is from RNAcentral.
UACGAAGGGGGCUAGCGUUGUUCGGAUUUACUGGGCGUAAAGCGCACGCAGGCGGAUUGUUAAGUCGGGGGUGAAAUCCUGGAGCUCAACUCCAGAACUGCCUUCGAUACUGGCAAUCUCGAGUCCGGAAGAGGUAAGUGGAACUCCUAGUGUAGAGGUGGAAUUCGUAGAUAUUAGGAAGAACACCAGUGGCGAAGGCGGCUUACUGGUCCGGUACUGACGCUGAGGAGCGAAAGCGUGGGGAGCGAACAGG